Long non-coding RNA from Sinocyclocheilus rhinocerous, 97 nucleotides. RefSeq lists it as uncharacterized. The record is from RefSeq and is a predicted model, not a curated record. Lineage: Eukaryota; Metazoa; Chordata; Actinopteri; Cypriniformes; Cyprinidae. The transcript has 3 exons.
AGUAAACACUAAUUUUUCAGUUAAAGUCAUUUCAUUGUCGAUUCAGUGAUGUCAUCGUGCAGCUCAGUUCAGUUUGCUUCCAAUAGUGUCUAUGGAA